Drosophila suzukii is the source of this 743-nucleotide non-coding RNA. NCBI's taxonomy places the organism in Eukaryota, Metazoa, Arthropoda, Insecta, Diptera, Drosophilidae. The record is from RefSeq and is a predicted model, not a curated record.
AUACUAAUUUCAAAACUCGAAAAAGCGACGAACGGGCCUACAAAAACCCAACUAUAUACACUUAUAGGCGGUCACCUGGGGCUGUGUGCGUGUGCGCUUCGGCGUUAUGUACGUACAUACAUCUAUAUAUUCGUAUUCGGAAGAGUUCUGGUCAUCGAGUGUCUACUGUAAAACCGAUACGAUGUGGUAAACAAUAUUUCUGCUUAACCCUGUGGGUAUGUUUUUGGGAAUCCUUGAUACAGGUGAGAAACUACCCCUUUUCGGAAAACAAUACCCAUGUACAACAGUAUAUUGGUGACCUGCUGAAUACUUGUUAAAAAAUAGAUUUCCAUUUAGAGCUUCACUUCCUUUAAGUUUUCGGGCGGCAGAUGCUCAGAAACUAGAUUUACAAGUAUUGAGCGGAAAGAGCGUGCUGCGGGGAACUUGGAGGUUUUCGAACUCGAAGCCAGAACAGGAAAAACUCUAGCUCUUCUCCAUGGAUGAGAAUGGAUACGCGGCAGAGGCGCUGGGAAAACGCGGAAAACAUUCUUAUUUAGCAUCUGCACAAAUUACGCAUCGCACGAGUUCGAAGGGAAAUUCCGCACGAUUUAUCUGCAUUAUAUAGCAAAUAAAUGAAUGGAAAGCCAAUACAACGCUUUCAAGCAAUGAAAUGUAGAACACAAACACAAGCCUUAUGUCUUUAUCGUAUCGAACUUUGAAUAAAUAGUUCUGAUUAAUUGAAAGGAACAAAGUCUUAAAACACA